RNAcentral lists this ribosomal RNA (153 nucleotides) under uncultured bacterium. RNAcentral describes it as "partial 16S ribosomal RNA". It matches the Rfam family "Bacterial small subunit ribosomal RNA", at positions 377 to 539 of the family's 1533-position model. The record is from RNAcentral.
GCAAGCCUGAUGCAGCAACGCCGCGUGAGGGACGACGGCCUUCGGGUUGUAAACCUCUUUUAGCAGGGAAGAAGCGAAAGUGACGGUACCUGCAGAAAAAGCGCCGGCUAACUACGUGCCAGCAGCCGCGGUAAUACGGGAGGCCCCAGCCGC